This 253-nucleotide ribosomal RNA is filed under the name uncultured bacterium. RNAcentral describes it as "partial 16S ribosomal RNA". It matches the Rfam family "Bacterial small subunit ribosomal RNA", at positions 524 to 776 of the family's 1533-position model. The record is from RNAcentral.
GACGAACCGUGCGAACGUUGUUCGGAUUCACUGGGCUUAAAGGGCGCGUAGGCGGUCCACCAAGUCUGGGGUGAAAUCGUUCGGCUUAACCGGACAAGUGCCUUGGAUACUGGUGGGCUGGAGGGAGGUAGGGGCAGCUGGAACUUCUGGUGGAGCGGUGAAAUGCGUUGAUAUCAGAAGGAACGCCGGUGGCGAAAGCGAACUGCUUGACCUCUUCUGACGCUGAGGCGCGAAAGCUAGGGGAGCAAACGGG